This 875-nucleotide ribosomal RNA is filed under the name Amanita cinereopannosa. RNAcentral describes it as "eukaryotic LSU rRNA". It matches the Rfam family "Eukaryotic large subunit ribosomal RNA", at positions 65 to 924 of the family's 3401-position model. Lineage: Eukaryota; Fungi; Basidiomycota; Agaricomycetes; Agaricales; Amanitaceae. The record is from RNAcentral.
CUAACAAGGAUUCCCCUAGUAACUGCGAGUGAAGCGGGAAAAGCUCAAAUUUAAAAUCUGGCAGUGUUAUGCUGUCCGAGUUGUAAACUAGAGAAGUGCAGCCCGUGCUGGACCGUGUACAAGUCUUCUGGAAUGGAGCGUCACAGAGGGUGAGAAUCCCGUCUUUGACACGGAYUACCAGUGCAUUGUGGUUGUGCGCUCAACGAGUCGAGUUGUUUGGGAAUGCAGCUCUAAAUGGGUGGUAAAUUCCAUCUAAAGCUAAAUAUUGGCGAGAGACCGAUAGCGAACAAGUACCGUGAGGGAAAGAUGAAAAGAACUUUGGAAAGAGAGUUAAACAGUAUGUGAAAUUGUUGAAAGGGAAACGUUUGAAGUCAGUCAUGUUGUCUGGGGAUCAGUUCAGCUAAUUUGCUGAGUGUACUUCCUGGUUGACAGGCCAACAUCAGUUUUGACUGCCAGAGAAAGGCUGAGGGAAUGUGGCACCUUUGGGUGUGUUAUAGCUCUUGGUUGUAUGUGGUAGUUGGGACUGAGGAAAGCAGCGUGCCGCAAGGCUGGGUUUCGACCACAUUUGCGCUUAGGAUGUUGGCAUAAUGGCUUUAAGCGACCCGUCUUGAAACACGGACCAAGGAGUCUAACAUGCAUGCGAGUGUUUGGGUGGAAAACCCUGACGCGUAAUGAAAGUGAAAGUUGAGAACCCUGUUGUGGGGAGCAUCGACGCCCGGACCAGAACUAUUGGGACGGAUCUGCGGUAGAGCAUGUAUGUUGGGACCCGAAAGAUGGUGAACUAUGCCUGAAUAGGGUGAAGCCAGAGGAAACUCUGGUGGAGGCUCGUAGCGAUUCUGACGUGCAAAUCGAUCGUCGAAUUUGGGUAUAGGGGC